Molecule: non-coding RNA, 125 nt
Organism: Brassica napus (rape)
Lineage: Eukaryota; Viridiplantae; Streptophyta; Magnoliopsida; Brassicales; Brassicaceae
Source: Rfam
GGAAUAUAAGAACCCGUCUCUUAACUUUUAACUAAAAAAAUUCAGAACCGGUUCUUAAAUCUCUUAUUUAAGAGCCGGUUCUUAGCUUUUUUAGUUAAAAGUUAAGAGACAUGUUCUUAUAUUAC